UGCCAUAGCCCAUAGUAUAUUUGCAAACAAUUCUUGUCUUCAAAAUAAGAAUGAUUAUGUAGUUCAUGGAAGGACAACUCGGGAGUAAUCAGAUGCACUGCAUUUACAAGUCAGCCAGGCUCUCGUUGGAAAUGUUAAACGCUACUUGGACAUACAAAAUAAGAAAAAAUAUUUAUAUAAUGGCAAUAAUUUGUGAAACCACAAUAAAGAGGUAGUCAAGUUGAUACAGUAAUA
This 234-nucleotide unclassified non-coding RNA is filed under the name Hevea brasiliensis (rubber tree). Lineage: Eukaryota; Viridiplantae; Streptophyta; Magnoliopsida; Malpighiales; Euphorbiaceae. The record is from RNAcentral.